Molecule: ribosomal RNA, 506 nt
Filed under: uncultured bacterium
Lineage: Bacteria
Description: partial 16S ribosomal RNA
Rfam family: Bacterial small subunit ribosomal RNA
Source: RNAcentral
GAUGAACGCUAGCUACAGGCUUAACACAUGCAAGUCGAGGGGUAACGAGAGGAAAGCUUGCUUUCCUUGUCGACGACCGGCGCACGGGUGAGUAACGCGUAUCCAACCUGCCCCCAACUAGGGAAUAACCUUGCGAAAGUAAGACUAAUACCCUAUAAUUUCCUCAGAUGUCAUCUGACGAGGAAUAAAGAUUUAUCGGUUGUGGAUGGGGAUGCGUCUGAUUAGCUCGUUGGCGGGGUAACGGCCCACCAAGGCAACGAUCAGUAGGGGUUCCGGGAGGAAGGGCCCCCACCAUGGAACCGAGACACGGUUCAAACCCCUACGGGAAGGAGGAGGUAGGGAUAUUGGUCAAUGGGGCGAAGCCUUAAACCGGCAAGGAGCGUUCAGGAUGAACGCCCUAUGGGUUUUUAACUUCUUUUAUAAUAGAAUAAAGUGGUUCAAGUGUGGAUUUUUGUAUGUAUACUAUGAAUAAGGAUCGGCUAAUUCCGUGCCAGCAGCCGCGGUAA